This is a non-coding RNA of Schistosoma curassoni, 46 nucleotides long. Lineage: Eukaryota; Metazoa; Platyhelminthes; Trematoda; Strigeidida; Schistosomatidae. The record is from Rfam.
GCACUGCUGAGGAGUCCCACAACAGGACGAAGUAGCCGUCCAGUGC